This 253-nucleotide ribosomal RNA is filed under the name uncultured bacterium. Its description in RNAcentral is "partial 16S ribosomal RNA". It matches the Rfam family "Bacterial small subunit ribosomal RNA", at positions 524 to 776 of the family's 1533-position model. The record is from RNAcentral.
UACGUAGGGACCAAGCGUUGUUCGGAUUUACUGGGCGUAAAGGGCGCGUAGGCGGCGUGUUAAGUCACUUGUGAAAUCUCUGAGCUUAACCCCGGGCCUGCAGUGGGUACGGGCAGACUAGAGUGCGGUAGGGGAGACUGGAAUUCCUGGUGUAGCAGUGAAAUGCGUAGAUAUCAGGAGGAACACCGAUGGCGAAGGCGGUUGGCUGGAGCUUUGCUGACGCUGAGGCGCGAAAGCGUGGGGAGCGAUCCGG